AAAUGCGAUAAGUAGUGUGAAUUGCAGAAUUCAGUGAAUCAUCGAAUCUUUGAACGCACAUUGCGCCCCUUGGUAUUCCAUGGGGCAUGCCUGUUCGAGCGUCAUCUACACCCUCAAGCUCUGCUUGGUGUUGGGCGUCUGUCCCGCCCCCGCGCGUGGACUCGCCCCAAAUCAAUUGGCAGCGUUCCUUGCCCCCUCUCGCGCAGCACAUUGCGCUUCUCGAGGGCGGCUCCGGGACGCGAUCCAGCAAGAUGACCACCGUCUUUGACCUCGGAUCAGGUAGGGAUACCCGCUGAACUUAAGC
This 304-nucleotide unclassified non-coding RNA is filed under the name plant metagenome. RNAcentral describes it as "partial contains 5.8S ribosomal RNA, internal transcribed spacer 2, and large subunit ribosomal RNA". The stretch from base 1 to 104 matches the Rfam family "5.8S ribosomal RNA", at positions 51 to 154 of the family's 154-position model. The record is from RNAcentral.